Molecule: non-coding RNA, 207 nt
Filed under: Emiliania huxleyi
Lineage: Eukaryota; Haptophyta; Isochrysidales; Noelaerhabdaceae
Description: Eukaryotic small subunit ribosomal RNA
Rfam family: Eukaryotic small subunit ribosomal RNA
Source: Rfam by way of RNAcentral
GAUACACAGAGAGUCACUCUGACGGCACACAACACCCUGCACGCGCGCUACACUGAUGCACUCAACGAGUCUAUCACCUUGACCGAGAGGUCCGGGUAAUCUUUUGAAAUUGCAUCGUGAUGGGGAUAGAUUAUUGCAACUAUUAAUCUUCAACGAGGAAUUCCUAGUAAGCGUGUGUCAUCAGCGCACGUUGAUUACGUCCCUGCC